CCUAUUUAAAAAGUUUAUUUAUAAAUGAUCGCGUAUUCAAAGCCUGAAUUUAACUAACGCUUUACAUAUCAUUCCAGUUUUACGUAUAUUUAAUUAUUUAAAUUUCUUUCCUUUGAUGCUCUUUCAUAUUCUAAUUUUUGAAUUCUAUCAGUAGAAUUCUACAGUCUGCAUUUAACUUGAAGAUUUUCAAAAUGAUAGAUUUAACUGAAAAUAAAGGCAAUAAACAAGAAAAUCAAUAUCUUAAAUCGGAGAGCCAAAUAUAUGAUUCAGACGAACAACCUGACUUUUCACAUAGGAUUAUUGAAAAUAUAAUUAAAAAGAUAAAAAAUUACAAAAAAUUAAGUUAUAAAGCAAUAAUCUUCUUGAGAGUUCUUGAGUGCUGCCAGGGACACUGGAACUAAUUCUGAGAUGACUGAGCCAUGCGGGAGAGGAAUGAACUUAGGCCUGCUGUAACACCCAGCAAAUGUUGGAAGAAAUAGGUUCCCUGUAUAGUUGUAGAAGGGAAUUGGUGACAUCUCAUUGUGUUGUUUGUGAGCCACUAGACGAAGGACCCACUGGAAUUUCUUGCUCAGCUUAGCCUUUAUUGCUCCUGCAAAGCCCAAGGCAACAGUGUAUAGUUUUCCAAGAUGGUCAUAGAAAGACACCAAGUCACAGAAUUUGGAGAAGUGUAGAUGGGUAGUCUCGUACAACUUAAGUUCAACUUCCACUCUGGUAGACAUUUGCAUUUGUUUCUGUUUAGUUUUGCAAGGAGGGAUUUUCACAAGCCAGGUAGCACACAAUGUAGACAUGAAGGAAAUGCAUUGUAAUUGAGGGUAAUACACCUAGGUAUCACAUUAUGUCCUCUGCACUUCAAAAGAAAAAGCAUCUGGGCAUGUAAUUUAUGCCAUAAUUUUUUCAGCUUCAACAUGGAAUAGAACAUCCAUUUUCUAGUAUUCAUCUUGUAAAGUAAUGUAAAAAUAUAGCUUGGAUGUCAUGCCAACAAAUGUACAUAAGAGAGAGAAAUAAAUUGACACAAACUGGUGUUAAAGAGCUUUUAAUUCUUUGCAAGUGCUUUUGACAUUCCUAUAAACGUUGUGUUCAGGCAAUGACACAAGUUGAAUGCUUUUUCAGAACGAAUUUUAAAGUAUAGAAACACAACAGUGUUAACCGAAUGGAAUACAAAACAUAAAAUUUAAAACACUUAAAACUUAAAAUUAAAACAUUUUUUGAAAAUCACACAGUGCCAACACACAUGUGCCUAGAGAUGUGGAGACAAAUACAUAGAAAGGUGCAGGGAAGGUGGAGAUAAACAGUUAGUUAGUAUUAUUUAUUUGCUUGUACAAAUUGACCCAAAUGUCAGGCAACUCGAGGGUGGGAGUUGCAGGGGGACAACAGUGUGGUGAAGAGUGACUUCCAAAUAAGCACUAGGCUCCUUUCACUGCAAUUCCUAAGUAAUUCAGAGCAGCCCCAAAGCAAGGUAUGGUGACCAUCUUGGAUAAUUCUGUGUCACACCUUCCCACCAUCACAGAAUGUUUGUGCUCAGCUAAUCGACAAGACAGCAUUCUGGUGGUAGCUCCUAUGUAGCAGGUGUGUAUCCCAGUUCAUUCCUCCAAUUCAGAGAUGCAUAACUUAGGCAUCUGUGAAUUAAUCAUAAACAAUAAUCAUAAACUACAAUAAAAUUCCAAUUAUCUGAGUCUCAAGUAAUUUAGAUUCCACAUUAUCUGUAAGUGAAUACACCACUUUUCAUAUAUUGUAAUUCAUAAA
RNAcentral lists this unclassified non-coding RNA (1743 nucleotides) under Centruroides sculpturatus (bark scorpion). RNAcentral describes it as "uncharacterized LOC111638359, transcript variant X4". The record is from RNAcentral. Lineage: Eukaryota; Metazoa; Arthropoda; Arachnida; Scorpiones; Buthidae.